UUGGANUGGGCGCAGCCUGAUCCAGCAAUGCCGCGUGAGUGAAGAAGGCCUUCGGGUUGUAAAGCUCUUUUGUCAGGGAAGAAACGGUGGGGGCUAAUAUCCCCUGCUAAUGACGGUACCUGAAGAAUAAGCACCGGCUAACUACGUGCCAGCAGCCGCGGUAAUACGUAGGGUGCAAGCGUUAAUCGGAAUUACUGGGCGUAAAGCGUGCGCAGGCGGUUUUGUAAGUCUGUCGUGAAAUCCCCGGGCUCAACCUGGGAAUUGCGAUGGAGACUGCAAGGCUAGAAUCUGGCAGAGGGGGGUAGAAUUCCACGUGUAGCAGUGAAAUGCGUAGAGAUGUGGAGGAACACCGAUGGCGAAGGCAGCCCCCUGGGUCAAGAUUGACGCUCAUGCACGAAAGCGUGGGGAGCAAACAGGAUUAGAUACCCUGGUAGUCCACGCCCUAAACGAUGUCUACUAGUUGUCGGGUUUUAAUUAACUUGGUAACGCAGCUAACGCGUGAAGUAGACCGCCUGGGGAGUACGGUCGCAAGAUUAAAACUCAAAGAAAUUGACGGA
Molecule: ribosomal RNA, 557 nt
Filed under: uncultured bacterium
Lineage: Bacteria
Description: bacterial SSU rRNA
Rfam family: Bacterial small subunit ribosomal RNA
Source: RNAcentral